This 301-nucleotide ribosomal RNA is filed under the name uncultured bacterium. Its description in RNAcentral is "partial 16S ribosomal RNA". It matches the Rfam family "Bacterial small subunit ribosomal RNA", at positions 509 to 807 of the family's 1533-position model. The record is from RNAcentral.
CAGUAGCCGCGGUAAUACGUAGGGUGCGAGCGUUAAUCGGAAUUACUGGGCGUAAAGCGUGCGCAGGCGGUUGUGUAAGACAGGUGUGAAAUCCCCGGGCUUAACCUGGGAACUGCGCUUGUGACUGCACAGCUAGAGUAUGGCAGAGGGGGGUGGAAUUCCACGUGUAGCAGUGAAAUGCGUAGAGAUGUGGAGGAACACCGAUGGCGAAGGCAGCCCCCUGGGCCAAUACUGACGCUCAUGCACGAAAGCGUGGGGAGCAAACAGGAUUAGAUACCCCCGUAGUCCCUGUCUCUUAUAC